UAACUUACCUCAUGAUGACGGGGCCCGCACAAGCAGCGGAGCAUGUGGUUUAAUUCGAAGCAACGCGAAGAACCUUACCAGGGCUUGACAUCCACAGAAUCUGGUAGAUAUACCGGAGUGCCUCGCAAGGAGGAGCUGUGAGACAGGUGGUGCAUGGUUUGUCGUCAGCUCGUGUCGUGAGAUGUUGGGUUAAGUCCGCAACGAGCGCAACCCCUGUUGGUAGUUACCAGCGUAAAGACGGGGACUCUACCGAGACUGCCGUGGAAAACACGGAGGAAGGCGGGGAUGACGUCAAAUCAUCAUGCCCUUUAUGCCCUGGGCUACACACGUGCUACAAUGGCCUGAACAGAGGGCAGCGAAGGAGCGAUCCGGAGCGAAUCCCAGAAAACAGGUCCCAGUUCAGAUUGCAGGCUGCAACCCGCCUGCAUGAAGACGGAGUUGCUAGUAAUCGCGGAUCAGCAUGCCGCGGUGAAUACGUUCCCGGGC
RNAcentral lists this ribosomal RNA (486 nucleotides) under Thermoanaerobacterium sp. kpu04. Its description in RNAcentral is "bacterial SSU rRNA". It matches the Rfam family "Bacterial small subunit ribosomal RNA", at positions 916 to 1379 of the family's 1533-position model. Lineage: Bacteria; Bacillati; Bacillota; Clostridia; Thermoanaerobacterales; Thermoanaerobacteraceae. The record is from RNAcentral.